Molecule: ribosomal RNA, 253 nt
Filed under: uncultured bacterium
Lineage: Bacteria
Description: partial 16S ribosomal RNA
Rfam family: Bacterial small subunit ribosomal RNA
Source: RNAcentral
UACGUAGGGCGCGAGCGUUGUCCGGAAUCACUGGGCGUAAAGGGCUCGUAGGCGGUCCGUCGCGUCGGCUGUGAAAUACCGGAGCUCAACUCCGGACCCGCAGUCGAUACGGGCGGACUAGAGGGCGGCAGGGGCGAGUGGAAUUCCCGGUGUAGCGGUGAAAUGCGCAGAUAUCGGGAGGAACACCGAUGGCGAAGGCAGCUCGCUGGGCCGUUCCUGACGCUGAGGAGCGAAAGCGUGGGGAGCGAACAGG